GCAAGUCGAACGAGAAUCUCUUCGGAGAGGACAGUGGCGCACGGGUGCGUAACGCGUGGAUAAUCUACCUUCGAAUCUGGGAUAACAUUGCGAAAGCGAUGCUAAUACCGGAUGAUAUUCGUUUCUCUUAGGUGAAGCGAAUCAAAGACGGCCUCUUCUUGAAAGCCGUUGUUUGGAGAUGAGUCCGCGUACCAUUAGCUAGUUGGUGGGGUAAUGGCCCACCAAGGCUACGAUGGUUAGCUGGUCUGAGAGGAUGAUC
Molecule: ribosomal RNA, 259 nt
Filed under: uncultured bacterium
Lineage: Bacteria
Description: partial 16S ribosomal RNA
Rfam family: Bacterial small subunit ribosomal RNA
Source: RNAcentral